Molecule: ribosomal RNA, 245 nt
Filed under: uncultured bacterium
Lineage: Bacteria
Description: partial 16S ribosomal RNA
Rfam family: Bacterial small subunit ribosomal RNA
Source: RNAcentral
UACGUAGGGGGCGAGCGUUGUCCGGAAUCAUUGGGCGUAAAGCGCGUGUAGGCGGCUCGGUAAGUCUGCUGUGAAAGUCCAGGGCUCAACCCUGGGAUGCCGGUGGAUACUGUCGAGCUCGAGUCCGGAAGAGGCGAGUGGAAUUCCUGGUGUAGCGGUGAAAUGCGCAGAUAUCAGGAGGAACACCAAUGGCGAAGGCAGCUCGCUGGGACGUGACUGACGCUGAGACGCGAAAGCGUGGGAGC